Molecule: long non-coding RNA, 529 nt
Organism: Elgaria multicarinata webbii
Lineage: Eukaryota; Metazoa; Chordata; Lepidosauria; Squamata; Anguidae
Exons: 2
Source: RefSeq, a predicted model, not a curated record
AUGUCUACUCAGAAACAAGUCCCAUUGCGUUCGCUGGGACUUACUCCCAGGCAUUUAAAUCCCUGGAUGUUUUGAAUUCUCCAUCUCUAUACUAAGUAGCUGCUUUGAUCCAACUGUCCUUUUUGAAAUGUCUUUGGAAGAAUAUGACAAAUGGCUAAGCUCCAGGGCAGCCACAUGACUGCUUCUAAUCCUCCCACUGAUUGAUGCCAAACCCCCAGCCAGACAUGGUUUAAAUGGGAGGAGGAUUAAAUGGGGAAGAGGAAUAAACCAACGAAGACAAAACUGGAGUUCCAGUGUUUGGCUCAGUAUUUGUAUGUGUGAGUGGAUGGGGAAGGUGUUGCUAAAACAUUUUAAAUUAAUACAAAGAGAAAAUGAAAGUAUUCAACGUACUCUUUCAGGGUCAGUGGACAUGGGCUGAAUUAAAGUGGAAUAACUGUGAUGUUCUUUGCUGCUGCUGUUAAACUCUUCAUAGGCUGAGGACCCAAUGAUCAGAGACAGACUGGUGGUUUUCCGCUUAGUUCUAAGAGAA